This 76-nucleotide transfer RNA is filed under the name Brugia pahangi. It matches the Rfam family "tRNA". From Rfam's summary of the family: Transfer RNA (tRNA) molecules are approximately 80 nucleotides in length. Their secondary structure includes four short double-helical elements and three loops (D, anti-codon, and T loops). Lineage: Eukaryota; Metazoa; Nematoda; Chromadorea; Rhabditida; Onchocercidae. The record is from Rfam by way of RNAcentral.
GCUUCCGUGGUGCAAUCGGUUAGCGCGUCCGGCUGUUAACCGAAAGGUUGGUGGUUCAAAGCUCCACCCGGGAGCG